This 481-nucleotide long non-coding RNA is filed under the name Populus trichocarpa (black cottonwood). RNAcentral describes it as "long non-coding RNA (PTRI_LNC000789)". Lineage: Eukaryota; Viridiplantae; Streptophyta; Magnoliopsida; Malpighiales; Salicaceae. The record is from RNAcentral.
CCUAGCCUGUUCGGAAACGUGGGCGGUUGCAUCCGCGUUCCCAAACCAAAACCAUCACAGCCGCGCCCAUAUUCCGAAACGGGCACCAGAGUAAACAAGCAAUUUACCAUUUCUUUUCCUUGGUUUUACUGUAUAAAUACAGGGGUCUUGAAGACGACUUCAUGAAAGUGCAGCAAUACAAAUCCGAGGCAAGGAGAGCAUUGACAAAAGAAGGAUACCGCAUAUGGGGAAUCAUAGGAGAUCAGUGGAGCAGUGUGGAGGGACUCCCUGGUGCCAAAAGAACAUUCAAGUUGCCAAAUUCCAUGUACUACCUUUCCUAAAGCUUCCACUACCGACAUUAUUAUUCCAUAUGUUCAACCAGGCAUUGUCAUUGUUUAUCUGAUGAAAAAAACCAUGUUAAUCUAUGAUUUCUUUUUCUAAAAAAAAUCUCAGCUUCGAUCAGAUAUCUCAAAUAUCUCAGUAAAGGAAAUAUGCUUCAGAA